CAGGGCGGACGCGGAUUGGGUUGAAAGGAAAGUCGAGGCGCUUGUUCGUUAGACCAGGUUUCAGGAGUUCUUUAUCACUAAUUUUCUGAGUAUGCAAAGACCAGCCAUGUUAGGGUGAAACCUAUGCAAUACAGGUUUGAUAUGUACGGCCAUGCUCGAGUUUCCAUCUGCCAGAGAGUGUCAUCUAUUGGAGCCCAGGAAGAGAGCUUUUUCUGUCAUGGAUACCAUCCUGUGGAAUAUAUUCCCCUGAAGAUCAGAUUAGUCCCACCCCUACUGGCUUUUCUCAAGGCCUUAAAAACAUGGUUUUGUCAAUGAGUUUGAUAACAUAGGAAUAUGGUAGAACCAGUGUAGUGGCUACAUUGACUAUUAUUUUUGGAGAUGAUUACCUCAACUAUUAAUUUUAUGUUAUGAUUUAUAUGGUUCGACAUUGUUUUUAUUGUUUUUACUAAUAUUGGUCUGCAGUUUUUAUACCACUUUUUAAUUGUUUAUGAACCAGCCAGUGUCUUGUAUGGAAAUGGACAGCUAUAGAAAUUUGAUUAAUAAACAUAUAUUUUAGGGCAAUCA
Non-coding RNA from Pantherophis guttatus, 564 nucleotides. Lineage: Eukaryota; Metazoa; Chordata; Lepidosauria; Squamata; Colubridae. The record is from RefSeq and is a predicted model, not a curated record.